Molecule: ribosomal RNA, 255 nt
Filed under: uncultured bacterium
Lineage: Bacteria
Description: partial 16S ribosomal RNA
Rfam family: Bacterial small subunit ribosomal RNA
Source: RNAcentral
UACGUAGGGGGCAAGCGUUGUCCGGAAUCAUUGGGCGUAAAGAGCGUGUAGGCGGCCAGAAAAGUCCGCUGUGAAAACUCGAGGCUCAACUUCGAGCUGUCGGUGGAAACUUUCUGGCUAGAGUCCGGAAGAGGAGAAUGGAAUUCCUGGUGUAGCGGUGAAAUGCGCAGAUAUCAGGAAGAACACCCGUGGCGAAGGCGGUUCUCUGGGACGGUACUGACGCUGAGACGCGAAAAGCGUGGGGGAGCGAACAGG